Molecule: non-coding RNA, 106 nt
Filed under: Candidatus Yanofskyibacteriota
Lineage: Bacteria
Description: Candidatus Yanofskybacteria SAM-I sequence
Rfam family: SAM riboswitch aptamer (S box leader)
About the family: The SAM riboswitch is found upstream of a number of genes which code for proteins involved in methionine or cysteine biosynthesis in Gram-positive bacteria. The SAM riboswitch acts at the level of transcription termination control.
Source: RNAcentral
AUAUUAUCAAGAGUGAGCCGAGGGUUCUGGCCCGAUGACGCUCCGACAACCUGUCCGCCUUUGGCGAGAUAAGGUGCCUCCAGCCCUGUGCGGGGAAAGAUAGUGU